ACCUCAUGGUGGCAACACUUUAUGCGCUAGUCACUAGACCCAUCCGAGGGGACGGGAUUGAGCAAAGCCAAAGAUGAUUUGGAAUCUCUUGGUUACGUUCUUAUGUAUUUUUUAAGAGGAAGCCUUCUUUGGAAAGGACUUAAAGUUGUCAGUAAAAAGCAAAAGUAUGACAAAAUUAGUGAGAAGAAAGUGCUUAUCCCUUUGAGAUAAUUCAAAAUUCUUCUUUUACAUACUUGAGAACAAUUUAGUCAGCCACUUUUAUUUUUAUUUCAAUUUGCAUAUUUAUUGUGCGAGAGUUUAGAUUUUUUAUGAUGUAAACUAGGCACUUUGUAAGUUAUUUCCUUCAGAAUUUAUAUCUUAUUUCCAUUACUGUUGAUCCUUGCGUUUUGAGGACAAGCUGGAUUAUUCAUACUUGAGGAGGUUAUUCCGUGAGCUAUUUAUUCGAGAAGGUAUGGGAGAGUUGAAGUGAAAUAGACUUGAGUUUUGAGAAUGUCAACAUUUUGCAUAUGAAGACAUUAGAGAAAUGAAUACUUAGCUUUUGAUGUAAAUGGAUGUUAAUUUUACUAGAUGAUUACUAGACAUUUGAUAUAUAGCUUAAUGAUGUGUAGAAACAAUUAUCAUAAUUACUGAAUGAUAUUUUAAUAUA
This is a long non-coding RNA of Zingiber officinale, 646 nucleotides long. RefSeq lists it as uncharacterized. The record is from RefSeq and is a predicted model, not a curated record. Lineage: Eukaryota; Viridiplantae; Streptophyta; Magnoliopsida; Zingiberales; Zingiberaceae. The transcript has 4 exons.